AUUGAACGCUGGCGGCAUGCUUUACACAUGCAAGUCGAACGGUAACAGGCCGCAAGGUGCUGACGAGUGGCGAACGGGUGAGUAAUGCAUCGGAACGUGCCCAGUCGUGGGGGAUAACUACUCGAAAGAGUAGCUAAUACCGCAUACGAUCUAUGGAUGAAAGCGGGGGACCGUAAGGCCUCGCGCGAUUGGAGCGGCCGAUGUCAGAUUAGGUAGUUGGUGGGGUAAAGGCUCACCAAGCCAACGAGCUGUAGCUGGUCUGAGAGGACGACCAGCCACACUGGGACUGAGACACGGCCCAGACUCCUACGGGAGGCAGCAGUGGGGAAUUUUGGACAAUGGGCGCAAGCCUGAUCCAGCAAUGCCGCGUGCAGGAAGAAGGCCUUCGGGUUGUAAACUGCUUUUGUACGGAACGAAACGGCUCUGGUUAAUACCCGGGGCUAAUGACGGUACCGUAAGAAUAAGCACCGGCUAACUACGUG
Molecule: ribosomal RNA, 482 nt
Filed under: uncultured bacterium
Lineage: Bacteria
Description: partial 16S ribosomal RNA
Rfam family: Bacterial small subunit ribosomal RNA
Source: RNAcentral